Molecule: ribosomal RNA, 253 nt
Filed under: uncultured bacterium
Lineage: Bacteria
Description: partial 16S ribosomal RNA
Rfam family: Bacterial small subunit ribosomal RNA
Source: RNAcentral
UACGUAGGGUGCGAGCGUUGUCCGGAAUUAUUGGGCGUAAAGAGCUCGUAGGCGGUCUGUCGCGUCUGCUGUGAAAACCCGAGGCUCAACCUCGGGCCUGCAGUCGAUACGGGCGGACUUGAGUACUGCAGGGGAGACUGGAAUUCCUGGUGUAGCGGUGAAAUGCGCAGAUAUCAGGAGGAACACCGGUGGCGAAGGCGGGACUCUGGGCCGAUACUGACGCUGAGGAGCGAAAGCGUGGGGAGCAAACAGG